Molecule: ribosomal RNA, 500 nt
Filed under: uncultured bacterium
Lineage: Bacteria
Description: partial 16S ribosomal RNA
Rfam family: Bacterial small subunit ribosomal RNA
Source: RNAcentral
AUUGAACGCUGGCGGCGGGCCUAACACAUGCAAGUCGAGCGGCAGCGGGACCUUCGGGUUGCCGGCGAGCGGCGGACGGGUGAGUAAUGCCUAGGAAUCUGCCUGUUAGUGGGGGAUAACGCGGGGAAACUCGCGCUAAUACCGCAUACGUCCUACGGGAGAAAGCGGGGGCUCUUCGGACCUCGCGCUAACAGAUGAGCCUGGGUCGGAUUAGCUAGUUGGUGGGGUAAUGGCCCACCAAGGCGACGAUCCGUAACUGGUCUGAGAGGAUGAUCAGUCACACUGGAACUGAGACACGGUCCAGACUCCUACGGGAGGCAGCAGUGGGGAAUAUUGGACAAUGGGCGAAAGCCUGAUCCAGCCAUGCCGCGUGUGUGAAGAAGGUCUUCGGAUUGUAAAGCACUUUAAGUCGGGAGGAAGGGCUGUAGGCUAAUACCUUGCAGUUUUGACGUUAUCGACAGAAUAAGCACCGGCUAACUUCGUGCCAGCCGCCGCUGUAA